GUCGCUCUGAAGGUACCCCAAAGGUAAUCCUCCGGCGGAUUAAAACAGUCAAACAUAGAGGUACAUAAUAAAACAAGCACAUUUUUUUUUUUGUAAAGUUAUACACAAUCUGGUUUUACAUUACGUAGGUAUUGUUAGGAUAUGACAGAACGUAGUUAGAAAGUUGGCGAUCAAAUUUAAUAACUUGCUAAUGUUUCUCAGGCUUGGACAUUUCUAUAGUUAGUUACAAGUUAAACUGGCUUAAACAUGUGUGGUUGUAGUUCGCUAUAACAGGUAAUAUAAAAAGUGUUUCAGUCGUUCUCACAAGCAUCGCAACGGAUUAUAUCUCAGUAGGACAAACAGAGAGCGCGUUUACUCUACUCUGUUCUUUAUAGGCACUAUGUUUGGUUACACAUAUGUACAUAGCAGUAUUUUAGGCAUUCUCGCUGACAUUACGUCUGAUGAUCUCUUAGUCUAUCGGGCCUGGGGGGUGUUAGUAUGCGGUCGGUUGGCCGCUCUACGGGAGUGUGCGCACGCUGCCGUGUCUAGGGUGAAGCCUAGUGUGUGAGAACAAUGAAAAGCAGAAGAAUACAAUUAUACAAAAUUAUAACCAUAAGUAAAAAUAAAACAUGUAUAGGCUAG
This is a non-coding RNA of Pelobates cultripes (western spadefoot toad), 621 nucleotides long. Lineage: Eukaryota; Metazoa; Chordata; Amphibia; Anura; Pelobatidae. The record is from the annotation of a GenBank genome assembly.